ACACACACACACACACACACACACACACACUCACACACACACACACACACACACACACACACACACACACACUCCUCCUCGCUCCGGGUUUUUUACAGUUCUGCUGAGUGAGAGCAUGGACCCGCUCCAAUCGUAAUGGCGAGCCAGUGCGGGGCAGAGGAGGCCUUUACGUGUUUCGGACGAGCCAAGUCGGACAAAGUCUAAUUGGAGAGAUCAGGUGAUCUGCUGAUGUCCUCUUUCAUGAGUCACAGUGAGUUUGUCCCUCCUCCUCUGACCCGUGGAGGACCAUCAGAAGGUUCCAGAGAAGAGAAGAAGAAAGGCUGUUUCUGGGCGCAGAGGUGAUCUUCUUCUUCUUCUUCUGCUGCUGUACAUGUCCGUAACCGUCUCAGCUCGUCCAGAGUCCCACUGUCUCCGUCUUCAAUCAUUCUUACUGAGACAAAAACUAAACUAAACUGCAUUUUAGACUUUUUUAUGAUCACAUGAAGUCGAUUUCACUGAUUUUAAUCAUCUGAUCUUAAACCAGCAUGUUUGUCUGACUUUAAUCUUCCAAAUACAUUUGUAGACAUGAUUAUUUCUAGACUGAACAAUCUUCAUUCAAGAAAUCUGCAUGGACAGAUAAUUCAUCUUGUUUUUAUCUCGUUUUUAUCUUGUUUUAGACCUUUUCUCUCAGAUUUAGUCUUUUUAUCUUGUUUUUAUCUUGUUUUUAUCUUGAUUUUAGACCUUUUCCCUCAGAUUUAGUCUUUUUAUCUUGUUUUUAUCUUGUUUUUAUCUCGUUUUUAGACCUUUUCUCUCAGAUUUAGUCUUUUUAUCUCGUUUUUAUCUUGUUUUUAUCUUGAUUUUAGACCUUUUCCCUCAGAUUUAGUCUUUUUAUCUUGUUUUUAUCUCGUUUUUAGACCUUUUCUCUCAGAUUUAGUCUUUUUAUCUUGUUUUUAUCUUGUUUUUAGACCUUUUCUCUCAGAUUUAGUCUUUUUAUCUUGUUUUUAUCUUGUUUUUAGACCUUUUCUCUCAGAUUUAGUCUUUUUAUCUUGUUUUUAUCUUGUUUUUAUCUUGUUUUAGACCUUUUCUCUCAGAUUUAGUCUUUUUAUCUCGUUUUUAUCUUGUUUUUCUUGUUUUUAGACCUUUUCUCUCAGAUUUAGUCUUUUUAUCUCAUUUUUAUCUUGUUUUUAUCUUGAUUUUAGACCUUUUCCCUCAGAUUUAGUCUUUUUAUCUUGUUUUUAUCUUGUUUUUAUCUCGUUUUUAGACCUUUUCUCUCAGAUUUAGUCUUUUUAUCUUGUUUUUAUCUUGUUUUUAGACCUUUUCUCUCAGAUUUAGUCUUUUUAUCUUGUUUUUAUCUUGUUUUUAGACCUUUUCUCUCAGAUUUAGUCUUUUUAUCUUGUUUUUAUCUUGUUUUUAGACCUUUUCUCUCAGAUUUAGUCUUUUUAUCUUGUUUUUAUCUUGUUUUUAUCUUGUUUUAGACCUUUUCUCUCAGAUUUAGUCUUUUUAUCUCGUUUUUAUCUUGUUUUUAUCUUGUUUUUAGACCUUUUCUCUCAGAUUUAGUCUUUUUAUCUCAUUUUUAUCUUGUUUUUAUCUUGAUUUUAGACCUUUUCCCUCAGAUUUAGUCUUUUUAUCUUGUUUUUAUCUUGUUUUUAUCUCGUUUUUAGACCUUUUCUCUCAGAUUUAGUCUUUUUAUCUUGUUUUUAUCUUGUUUUUAGACCUUUUCUCUCAGAUUUAGUCUUUUUAUCUUGUUUUUAGACCUUUUCUCUCAGAUUUAGUCUUUUUAUCUUGUUUUUAUCUUGUUUUUAGACCUUUUCUCUCAGAUUUAGUCUUUUUAUCUUGUUUUUAGUCCCCUUUCUCUCAGAUUUAAUCUUUUUAUCUUGUUUUUAGACCUUUUCUCUCAGAUUUAGUCUUUUCAUCUUGUUUUCAUCUUGUUUUUAUCUUGGUUUUAGACCUUUUCCCUCAGAUUUAGUCUUUUUAUCUUGUUUUUAGACCUUUUCUCUCAGAUUUAGUCUUUUUAUCUUGUUUUAAUCUUGUUUUUAUCUUGUUUUAGACCUUUUCUCUCAGAUUUAGUCUUUUUAUCUUGUUUUUAGUCCCCUUUCUCUCAGAUUUAAUCUUUUUAUCUUGUUUUUAGACCUUUUCUCUCAGAUUUAGUCUUUUCAUCUUGUUUUCAUCUUGUUUUUAUCUUGGUUUUAGACCUUUUCCCUCAGAUUUAGUCUUUCUAUCUUGUUUUUACUCCUUCCCCUCAGAUUUAGUCUUUUUAUCUUGUUUUAUCUUGUUUUUAGACCUUUUCUCUCAGAUUUAGUCUUUUUAUCUUGUUUUAAUCUUGUUUUUAUCUUGUUUUAGACCUUUUCUCUCAGAUUCAGUCUUUUUAUCUUGUUUUUAUCUUGUUUUUAUCUCGUUUUUAGACCCUCCUUUUUUGCAGUGCACACUCAGCGGUCAAUACCAUCAAUGAUUCUGCCUUUCAGCAAAAUUGACGUCCCGAACAUUUAAUCACACAGAUGCUGUGCAGAGCGCCGGCCCGGUCCAGGUGGGUUUGUUAGUCUCUGGAGGGUACAGCUCAGAGGUCUUUUGUCAUCAUCCACAUCAGACCUGAAGUCCUCCAUCAGGAAAAAUCAAUGCUUAUGAAAAAUGAGAGAGUCCGACACGGGACAGGGUCACCGAGCGCUGGCUGUCAGCGCAGAGACUGUCAGAGACCCGUUUAGACUUUUAACAUCAGUGAAAACGCCACAAAGUGAGAAUAAUCCAAACGCCGUUCUUUAAGGAUGAAACUCGAUGACGAACAGUGAGAAGAGUGUUCAAUAUGAAGUUUGUCCUUCAAUAAAAUAUGUUCAAAUCAU
Xyrichtys novacula (pearly razorfish) is the source of this 2813-nucleotide non-coding RNA. The record is from the annotation of a GenBank genome assembly. Lineage: Eukaryota; Metazoa; Chordata; Actinopteri; Labriformes; Labridae.